AGGCUCAGACCUUGUAUUGAACGGUGAGGGCGGGUAAUAUUGGGGGUAACUCUGAUAUUCCCACUUUACUCGAUUAUGGAGGGAGUCCACUGUAGUAAUACAGUAUACUAUGUAAUGUGCAGGCGAGGGUAAAGACUCUGUAAGUCGACAAAGACUCUCCGGUGGAUUCUUCUUUUUAAAGCCAAUCGUAAUGGCUCAGUCGUCUAAUUACCGAAAGUGAAUAGACGUUAAUAAACCCAAAAAUAGGAACAGUCGGGGUCGUUUAUACUUCCAAGUUAGGGGUGAAAUCCUAUGAUUUUGGAAAGAUAAACUAGUGCGAAAGCAUUCGACAAGGAUGUUUUCAUUGAUCAAGAACGAAAUUGGGGGAUCGAAGACGAUCAGAUACCGUCGUAGUCUCAACCAUAAACGAUGCCGACCAGAGAUCGGGGUGACGCUUUCCGAAAAGGAAGCGCGGCUCCCCCGGCACCUUUGAGAGAAAUCAAUGAGUGUCUGGGCUUCGGGGGGGAGUAUGGUCGCAAGGCUGAAACUUAAAGGAAUUGACGGAAGGG
RNAcentral lists this ribosomal RNA (548 nucleotides) under uncultured eukaryote. Its description in RNAcentral is "bacterial SSU rRNA". It matches the Rfam family "Eukaryotic small subunit ribosomal RNA", at positions 643 to 1164 of the family's 1831-position model. The record is from RNAcentral.